MicroRNA precursor from Caenorhabditis elegans, 105 nucleotides. The record is from Ensembl. NCBI's taxonomy places the organism in Eukaryota, Metazoa, Nematoda, Chromadorea, Rhabditida, Rhabditidae.
GAAUUUUGCUCGCGCCAAAAUGAGAACUACACGACCAAUCAGUGAUGUGCUCCACCCAAUAUUGAACCAAUCGCUGAUUGGUUGAGCAGUUCUCAUUUUGGGUGG